This 440-nucleotide ribosomal RNA is filed under the name Tethya sp. 2 JV-2020. RNAcentral describes it as "partial large subunit ribosomal RNA". It matches the Rfam family "Eukaryotic large subunit ribosomal RNA", at positions 69 to 472 of the family's 3401-position model. Lineage: Eukaryota; Metazoa; Porifera; Demospongiae; Tethyida; Tethyidae. The record is from RNAcentral.
CAAGGAUUCCUCAGUAACGGCGAGCGAAGUGGGAAGAGCUCGAGCCUGAAAUCACUGGCAGUCACUGCCAGAGAAUUGUGGCCGGGAGAGGCAGCGGUGCCCCGACUGACGCUGUCGAAGUUGACCUGGAAAGGCACGUCGGAGAGGGUGAGAGCCCCGUGCGCGACACCGUCGGGAAGGGCCGCUACUGUCUUCGGAGAGUCGGGUUGUUUGGGAAUGCAGCCCAAAGUGGGUGGUAAACUCCAUCUAAAGCUAAAUACUGGCACGAGACCGAUAGCGAACAAGUACCAUGAGGGAAAGGUGAAAAGUACUUUGAAAAGAGAGUCAAAAAGACCGCAAAACCGUUAGGAGGGAAGCGAAUGCAGCUGAAGUGGUUCCCCUUCAGGCUCAGGAAGUGUCGGCUCGGCUUGCUGGCCCGGUGGAAGCCGCAAGGCGCUGCC